ACUUAACUGAAUUUUAUAACGCUGAUCGAUAUCUUGGUAAAAUAUUCAUUUUUAAACUAACGGGCAGUGAAAUCUUUGCUUUGUGUGCUAAAGUCAACAGUCGCCCGGUUUGAGCUCAAAUAAAUGCGGGGAUGCCUGGGCUGGGAGCAGUCGGCCGCCUCCCUCUGCGUGCUGGACGCUCCACCGACAGCCCGCCGACCCGCAGCUCCUCAGGCCAGAAGCCCACCUGCGGCAAACACAAAGGUUCUAUGCGUUUGAGGAUUUUUUUUCUUUUCUUUUUUCUUUUCCACAUUAUCAAGACCCACAGGAGGAGGAAAAAAAAAAAAGCCUUCCGUAUAUAUUUCCUGCUGGGUGGUCAGAAGGAGAGGCCAGGAAGCCAAAGGCCUCCCAUUGAGUAGCUGCCCUGUGAAGAGAGGACCUCACGUGCCGCCUGCCGCAGCGGGAGAAGCAGGCACCUGUCGGUCUGUGACUGUCCGAGGGUCGAUUCCAAACUCUGAAGGCCACGCGCCGCCCCUACCCCCACGCCCCAAACCUGCAGGGGUUCCGGCAGAGAAACGCCCACCCAACACGCCCAUCCAGGACUCAGAACAUUAUGAAAAUAUCCAUGUAGCUAUUGAGCCACUAAGUAUCAAUUGUUUACUGACAUUAGUAUUAAAUUGAAAGGGUUUAGUUUAUGUGUGGGGGUAUGUGUGCAUGAUCAUGUGUGCAGAUAAGUGCGAGGGUAUAUAUAUGGGUGUUCCAUCUUAUAUGUCACCUAGGAGAUGUGAUGAAAUAUGGGGCAAGGUUUCUAGUUAGAAUUUGAAAAUGUUUGAUGGUGUCAUGAAUUUUUAAAAAGAACUCUAUAAAAUAUGUAUUUAUAUGACUUUGUAUAGGCAUUUGGAUGAGGACUAUUUUUGGGUAAGGAUUGUAAUAAAGCUAUCAAGUUCAA
This is a long non-coding RNA of Erinaceus europaeus (western European hedgehog), 928 nucleotides long. RefSeq lists it as uncharacterized. Lineage: Eukaryota; Metazoa; Chordata; Mammalia; Eulipotyphla; Erinaceidae. The record is from RefSeq and is a predicted model, not a curated record. The transcript is spliced from 2 exons.